Molecule: non-coding RNA, 186 nt
Filed under: uncultured Tubulinea
Lineage: Eukaryota; Tubulinea
Source: RNAcentral
UCGCUCAAAGUCUGUUAUUUGUUGUCGUGCUUCGCCUAAGCAAAAAGCGAAUGUAGUUAAAAUGAUUCGUAAAGGAGCUAAGGGAACUAUUACCCUUGCUGUUGGCGAUGGUGCAAACGAUGUUGCUAUGAUUCAACAAGCCCAUAUUGGUGUUGGUAUCUUUGGUAAAGAAGGAACACAAUCUGC